CAAUUACUUAAUCCUAACUAGAGACCUAUUAUUGGAUUUAAAUCACACACAAAUAUUUCCCACUUUUAGGUAAACUCUACAGGAACACAAUGUUGUAGCCAAUUCAUCACCUAGUUUAGCUGGAAAUCUGCAUUUUGAGUACAUUAGCUUUAGCUGGUGAUUUUACCCAUGGUGUUGUAAAGGAUCAAAAAUAUUAAUUGAUAUGAUAAACCUCUUGAAGGAGCUAGUAGUCUUAGGCUGAGAGUCAGCCUUAGUGAACUGGUCGAUUGUGUUGCUUUUAUUUAAAUGGGUAAAAAUUGGUUUGUCCACAAUAGUUAGGCCUUCCUAUCAGUAAAAAUUUCAAGAAAGGAGCAUACUAUAAUAUAUUGAUUCCUCUCAUUAGUGUGGAUCAUUGCAACAAAGCAAGCCAAAGUUGAGUUCAAACUACGAAUACAAUGAAUGAGAAGUUUCUAUAGAAAUAAAAAGACACAUAGUUACAUGAAAAGAUACUCUCACUGAUCUAUCUGAGCUGUUCACUUCAAGUAAUCAUACUAUUUUCGAGUACCAUCUGUAUCAGAAACUACAUGUCUUAGGAUAAAACCUACAAACUAUUUCCAUAAAUAUCUUCAACAUCUUAUCAAUCCCUCUGAUAAGCAUGUCAAAUCUUUCUCUGGGAAGACGGAGUUUCUGCAUGUAGUAACACAUAAUUUUGAAUAAGCAACAAGAAUGGAUGAUUAUGUGUUACACACAGUUUUAGAAUGUGGAUAAAUCCCAUUUUGCAGGUGAUGCAAAGAGACUCCACAUGGUUAGGAUGGAUUGUAUUUGGAAACCUCAAAUGAAGCGCAAUUGCUUGCCUCCAAUGGUUUCAUGUUGGAAAAGCAUGUUAAGUAAUGCUGCAACGUGUUCGCUACAGUCUAUGAGAAGCUCUAUAAGCCCUGGCAGUUUGGAAAUGCAACUUGGUAAGCUAAUAAUAUUGUUGCUAUAAAAAAUGUUGCCAGUGAGAUCUAGAGUCUCCAAUGAAGAUAAGCGACAANAAAGGGGUUGAAACCCUUGAUUUUCUCAUCUGGCAUUAGUCACACAGCACUCAAAUGGUUGUUGACCUUCAAUUCAUGUCAACCCUCUCAUGUGACCCACAUAAUUUUGGGUCCACAAACUNUGAUGCAAAAAAUUAUAUUAAUUUCUACAUUCCCAUAGAAGGGACNUGANGCAUNCUUUUNUGUUUUUACCCUGUUGGUGUCUCNUGCCUAAUGUUUUUAUUUAUGUAUAAUUGUCCAAUCAAACUCAUUCCAUUUCUUGAACUNUAAAUUGGUCAUCCACUUUGAUUCUCCUCANUGCAGUCUCACCCNAAAUCAAAAUGGCNCAAGAAACUGUGGUGAAGAGGUCACCCUCUCAAGCAAAAUUUCACAGGGUUCAAUUUGCAAUAAGGCUGUUGGNGCUGGUUUUGUUCUUGGGUUGGAUUUUCAUUUGGAUAAUGUCACCCACAAAUACUUUUANACAAANNUGGCUUCCAAGAUACAGNGCAAAGACUGNCAAUACAACUUAUUUGGGUUCAAAAGGUCUUGUUAAUUUAUUCAAUNAUUACAUUGCUUUGAUUAUUUUAUGCUGAUAUUCCCCUGUAAUGUUUUCAUUGCAGGUUCUAAUCUUCUGAUGUACACAUUCUCAAUNUUGCUCAUAGCUACUUUGGGGUGUGUCUACCUCCACAUAAUAAAAAAAGCAAAUGACUCCAACAUGGAAAUGUACUAUUUUUCACCACUUACUCUGGUUAUAAUCUUUUGAUAAAUGGUUCAUUGUAAGAUUAACACAUAAAAAGGUGUACUACAAAUGACAUGAACAAAAAAAUAAAAAGCAUAAAACACACUCACAGAACUGUAUUUAAAGUUUGUAGAUUGCAGAAUAAGUUUUAUCAUAGUUUUGACAGUUACCCAGGAAAAUUUUUCUCUUGUAACAAAAGUUAAGGCCUUAUUUUUUUUUUAAUAUAUUAGUACUUAUAUGAUGAGAAAUAGUAAAUAACUAUGUGUUAUUUUAUAAAUUAAUUUACAAAAAGUUCUUUGUUUUAGUUUCUUCACAAACUGAUUAUAACUUGUAAAAAGUUAAAUUAGUUUUAUAUACUUAUUUUCUUAUCUUACAGAUACUUUUUUCAGCAAAAUGUUUGAUUUUUCAACUUUAGAAAAAUGAUGUGAGNGUGGGGACAAAGAAUUUAAUAAGCCUGUAAAGAAUUGUACUUGUGAUAGUUGACUUUUUCACAUGUAUAUAUGUUUUGUGCAUUAUCAGCAGCAACUCAAAGAAAUAUGAGAUAGCCCUAUGGAAGCGUUCAGUGCUUAUAAAAGGCCCUCUUGGCAUUGUCUCUGGCACAGAGCUUGCAUUCUUGCUCAUGUUCAUUGCACUCCUUGUCUGGNCCUUUGCAACUUCUUUAAGCAACAGCUUUGCAAAAAUCACCCCCGAAUCAGCAGCACAGGAUGGCGAGAAAAUGUAAACUUUUAUUAUGAUUACUAUUAGACUUUGAUUUCUAUACAUAAUUAGAGUAAAAAGUUAUUAACUGCAAAUCGAUCUAAAAUCAUUACUAGAUAACUUUUGAAGUAACUAUUAUAAAAGUCAGCAAAUUUAAUAUCAAUGACAUGAUACUUUUUAUACUGAAUGAUUGGAUGAUGGUAGAAAAAUCCUUAACAAUAUCAGUGCCUAAACUAUUUUUCCUAUUGUUUGCAGUAUGAUUAGUUUUUCAACUUUUACGACAAUUAUCUUAGAAAGUCGUAGAUUUUUGUGAUUCCUGGUAGAUUAACGGUGUAAAAGUGCAUUAUUAAACUAAAAACUAAGCUGAGCAUUUUGAUUGUUAUUGUUAAUUGUGAUACAUGUUGGUGGUGCAGAUGGGAAGAGAAGCUAGACAGUGCAGGAUUGAUAUCUGGUGUUGUUGGGAACAUAUGUUUGGUAUUCAUGUUUUUUCCUGUGGCUCGUGGUUCAAGCGUGCUGCCACUGCUUGGUCUCACUUCUGAAAGUUGCAUUAAGUACCAUAUUUGGCUUGGACAUAUUGCCAUGCCACUAUUCACUGCUCACGGUUUGAGCUUCAUCAUCCAUUGGGCAAUUAUUAAUCACUUGUCUGCGGUUAGUUAAGAACUUAUAGUAUAUUGAUUUCAUGGCAUGCAAUGUUUUAUCAUUUAUAUGAGUGUUGAUUGCCAUUAAUCCACCUUAUGUUGUAAAGAAAGUUUUUUUUUUUUUUUUUUUUUGUAACAAGUUAACUCAAGUAUGUUAAAAUUCGUAAUAAGUGAUUAUUUUAUUUGAAGAACACUUCUUUUCUACAAAAACAGUUUAAACAAAUAGACCCAUUGGCCCCCUUGUCACUUUGGAUAUUCCUCGCGCUUAUGCUUAUUGGUAUUCAUUUCUGACUUGCUUUAAGUAGCAAAUCGGUGAACACCACCAAAAGGGUUAAAAAUGUGAAUUUUUUAUGCUUGAACGGUCAAACUGUUUCUGUUGUACACUAAUCAUAUAAUUUUAAAUGAUUUUAUGCGUCUAUAUUUGUAGGAAAGUUUUUCAUUGAUAAAGAAAAAAGAUUUAUACAAUUAUGUAUGAAUUGAUUCUAGAAUUGUUACAGCAGAACAUUUUAGAGACCAAGCAACAAACCUGUCGCGGUGUUUUUCUUGAGCAAGUUGUCUGAAUUUUAUGUUUUGUUUUUUGUUUCAUAGUAUUGUGUGCACUGAGCUGAUGGGGCCAUGGCUUUUUUUCGUUGCAGAUGCUGGAAUGGAAGAAAAACGAUAUAUCAAUUGUGGCUGGAGAGAUAACUUUGCUUGCNGGUUUGUUACUAUGGAUUGCAACUAUUCCCCGCAUUAGGCGAACAUAUUUUGAACUCUUCUAUUACGCUCAUCACCUCUACAUCCUCUUCAUAGUCUUCUUCAUCUUUCAUGUUGGCAUUUCCUAUGCCUUAAUUAUGCUCCCUGGUUUCUACCUCUUCAUGGUCGAUCGUUACUUGAGGUUUCUGCAAUCAAGACGCCAAGUUCGUCUGGUUUCUGCUCGGGUNUUGCCAUGUGAAGCUGUGGAACUCAACUUCUCCAAGGGCCAUGGUAACUAACAUCAUGAUCUUAUCUCAGUAUCUCGAAGACACCUCUAGCUACUUCCUCAUAAAUGACUAAUUUAUUGAGACUUUUUUUAUGAGCUCAGGUUACAUGUUUUUUUUGCAGGAUUAACUUACAACCCCACAAGUGUGAUGUUCAUAAAUGUACCAAGCAUAUCCAAGCUGCAGUGGCAUCCAUUUACUGUUACUUCUAAUAAUAAUUUGGAGGCAGACAAGCUAAGUGUUNUUNUUAAAAGUGAAGGACCUUGGACCAAUAAGCUAUACCAGUUGCUUUCAACUCCUUCNACAAUUGAUCGCCUUUCUGUGUCUGUNGAAGGUCCUUAUGGACCUGCUUCAACCAACUAUCUACGGUUUGUAUCUUACAAGCAAAACACAACUUCAAACCUAAUGCUANAUCUGAGAUGAGUUCUUUGACUUUCACAUAAUAAUAANNUUUUGUAUUUUCUCCAUCAGGCAUGACACUCUUGUGAUGGUGAGUGGAGGAAGUGGCAUCACACCUUUUAUAUCCAUCAUUCGGGAGCUAAUACAUCUGAACACUAUAUUCAAAUGCAAAACCCCGAAAGUCGUCCUAAUUUGUGCCUUCAAGAACUCUUCUUCUCUGUCAAUGCUAGAGUUGAUCCUCCCAAUAAAUGGCANCCCUUCUGAUAUUUCUAAUUUAGAAUUACAAAUUGAGGCCUACAUCACAAGGGACAAGGAGCCUAAAGCAGAUGGCCCUAUUCACCCUCAAAUCAGAUGGUUCAAGCCAAAUCCAUCNGAUGAACCAGUACACGCUAUAUUAGGUCCAAACAGUUGGCUCUGGCUUGGUGCUAUAAUUUCAUCCUCUUUCGUNGUUUUCCUUAUCUUAAUAGGGAUCAUUACCCGUUACUACAUUUUCCCAAUUGAUCAUAACUCAAAUNAAAUAUUUUCCUACCCUUUGAAUGCAUUCCUUAACAUGCUAGUAAUAUGUGUGUCCAUAGCAAGUGUUUCCACUGCAGCUUUUCUUUGGAACAAGAAAUAUUAUGCUAAAGAAGGAAAGCAGAUUCAGAACAUGGAAGGGUCUACACCAACGGUGUCGCCAAACUCCAUGGUUUACAAUGUUGAUAGAGAACUGGAAAGUCUUCCAUAUCAGUCACUUAUUCAAGCCACCAAUGUGCAUUAUGGUGUAAGACCUGACCUAAGAAGUAAGUCACCUCCAAUUUCUUUAAUUAUGUCUUAGGGACUCAUGAAUGGAAUUGAAACCACUCAAUUUAUUUUUUCUUUUUACAGAGAUCCUAUUUGNGCACAAAGGGUCUAGUGUGGGAGUUCUUGCUUCAGGACCCAAAACAAUGAGGCAUGAGGUUGCAGCCAUUUGCUCCUCAUCUGNUUUAGCUGAGAAUCUGCAUUUUGAGUCUAUUAGCUUUAGCUGGUGAUUUUACUCAUACUGUUAUAAUGGGUGUAAUAGUGAGUGACCAAUGUCUGGAAGUACCUUGAAGGACUUGUUAAUUCUGUUGUUUUAUAUUUAAAUGACUGAAAAUUGUUCUCAAUAAUAAUUACGCCUUCAUAUGAGCAAGAUUAUAAAUAAAGGAAUUUACUAUAAUAUUUUAUCCUCAAAUAGUGUGGAUCAUAUUCACAAAACAUGCAAAAGCUGAGUUCAAACUACAAACAUGGAGAACGAGAAAUUACUAUUCAAAUAUCAAGACACGUGUAAUUACAUGAAAAGUUACUGAAUAAAUCACACCAUCUCAUUAACCAAUCCCAUCAAUAUAUAAAAUGAUACUAUUGUCAAGCACUAACUAUAUCAGAAACUCUAAGUAUCAUGCUAAAGCCUAGAAAUCAUUUCCAUAAAUAUCUUCAACAUCUUCCUCACAUACCAAAUGACAACCACACCUCAGUAUUUCCAGUGAAUGGCAGCAAUAACUUUUCAAUGCAAAUUCAAUUUCAUUGCAGUCCCACCUUCAUAUAUUUUGUGAAGGUGUUCAUCAAUGGACAAAGAGUACAUAAGGGUGAGGUAACAUCGAUCCAUGGAGGUAAAUUGCAUGGUUUAGAAUAAUCAUAUUCUUAAAAUAAUCAUAUUCUUAAAAUAAUUAUAUUCUCGUAUUAUUUAAUUUAUAAUAAAUCUAAAAUAUGAAUUCAUUAAUAUAUUAUAUUCCAAUUACUUAAUCCUAACUAGAGACCUAUUAUUGGAUUUAAAUCACACACAAAUAUUUCCCACUUUUAGGUAAACUCUACAGGAACACAAUGUUGUAGCCAAUUCAUCACCUAGUUUAGCUGGAAAUCUGCAUUUUGAGUACAUUAGCUUUAGCUGGUGAUUUUACCCAUGGUGUUGUAAAGGAUCAAAAAUAUUAAUUGAUAUGAUAAACCUCUUGAAGGAGCUAGUAGUCUUAGGCUGAGAGUCAGCCUUAGUGAACUGGUCGAUUGUGUUGCUUUUAUUUAAAUGGGUAAAAAUUGGUUUGUCCACAAUAGUUAGGCCUUCCUAUCAGUAAAAAUUUCAAGAAAGGAGCAUACUAUAAUAUAUUGAUUCCUCUCAUUAGUGUGGAUCAUUGCAACAAAGCAAGCCAAAGUUGAGUUCAAACUACGAAUACAAUGAAUGAGAAGUUUCUAUAGAAAUAAAAAGACACAUAGUUACAUGAAAAGAUACUCUCACUGAUCUAUCUGAGCUGUUCACUUCAAGUAAUCAUACUAUUUUCGAGUACCAUCUGUAUCAGAAACUACAUGUCUUAGGAUAAAACCUACAAACUAUUUCCAUAAAUAUCUUCAACAUCUUAUCAAUCCCUCUGAUAAGCAUGUCAAAUCUUUCUCUGGGAAGACGGAGUUUCUGCAUGUAGUAACACAUAAUUUUGAAUAAGCAACAAGAAUGGAUGAUUAUGUGUUACACACAGUUUUAGAAUGUGGAUAAAUCCCAUUUUGCAGGUGAUGCAAAGAGACUCCACAUGGUUAGGAUGGAUUGUAUUUGGAAACCUCAAAUGAAGCGCAAUUGCUUGCCUCCAAUGGUUUCAUGUUGGAAAAGCAUGUUAAGUAAUGCUGCAACGUGUUCGCUACAGUCUAUGAGAAGCUCUAUAAGCCCUGGCAGUUUGGAAAUGCAACUUGGUAAGCUAAUAAUAUUGUUGCUAUAAAAAAUGUUGCCAGUGAGAUCUAGAGUCUCCAAUGAAGAUAAGCGACAANGCAGUUUGGAAAUGCAACUUGGUAAGCUAAUAAUAUUGUUGCUAUAAAAAAUGUUGCCAGUGAGAUCUAGAGUCUCCAAUGAAGAUAAGCGACAAGUUAAGUCUUCUUGGAUUUGCUUUUAGUUUCACUUCAAAAAAACCUCUUGCUAAUAAAAGUAUCUUAUGUAUAUAUAAAAUCAUGUUUAUCUUUUGUUUUAUUUUAUAUAAGACUUUGUUUGUAUUAGAUAUAGCAGUCCCCUUUAAAGAAAGCACUGACAAAUGUUCCAUGCUUUCCACAAACUCUGGAAGACGUUUAAAUUGAGAACAACCAGAAAGAUUUAAAUCAUUCAAGGAACUGUCUCCAUUUUCCUUGGAAGAGUUUUGAACUUUUUGCAGUGUUUUAAAUUCAACUUAACAAGUUUCUUGUGGCGUACAAGGGAUGGAUGAACCUCAGUUAAACUGGUGCAACCUUCAAGAAUCGAUGUCUUUAGCAAGUGCUCAUCUCUAGUUGUGAUUAUUAGUCUGCUUCCUGAUCAAACCAUUCUCGCUUUUCAGCUAAAUUUUCUACUUGUCUUGUGUCACUUACAUUAUCAAGAACGAGAAGUACCUUUUUCUUUCUUAAAAUGUUUGCUAUUAUCUUUUUCUCAUCAUAAAGAUUAUAAAAAUCAUUGCUUUUUACACCAAGAUGAGAAAGAACUUCCUUUUGAAUGAGAACUAAGUCAUUUGUCUUGGACAACUCUGUGAUGUUUUCAAGAAAGCAACAAUCCGUGAAUUUCUCUUUAAUUUUUUCAUAGACUAAUCUAGCAAUUGUUGUUUUACCUAUGUCUCCAUGCCCCAUAUUCCUAUGAAGUGAAUAUCAUUUAAUUCUAUGCCCAUGAGUGAAAUCACUUCUUUCAUCUGUGAAUCAAUUCCAACAAGAUUAUCUGUGACACAUGCAAGUCUAGGAAUUAUUUUUUUCUGCAUGUCUCCGACAAUUUUUUCAAUCAGUGUUGCUUCACUCCUGUAUUUAGAAAAAAACUAUGAUAUGUUAACACUAUUUUUCAACAACUUUUUGACAAUAAACUAUGUAUGAUUAUUUUAUUGAUUCGUAUAUUUGAAACGGAUUAAUCAUAAACUAUCACAUAGAUUUUUGUAAAAAAGUUAUAAAAAAAGUUAUUAAAAAAACAUUUUUCUUUAGAGAAAGACAAAAAGAAUUUUAUUUUAAUAGUAGCCAUAAAAUAGUAUAGCAAUAAAUAGAGAUAGAAGGUUGUCAUUUUAUAUUUUGCAAAUCCAAGGUUAAGUGAUAAAAAUAUUCUACUAGAGUUCCCUUGCUUGAUUUUCAAUGUACCAAACACAAACAAAGAAAUGACUAAAGUAGGUUCUUGAUCCCUUAUUUAUCUUACUAUUAUUUUUUCAGUUUGAUCGGCUAAGUUUAAAAUGUUUUACUUUAGUACCUUAAAUUGUCUCCAGCAUAACAAAUUAAUCCUUAUAUUAGUUUCUUUACUAGCAAUGUCAAUUUUGGUUAACUUAGCAAAAAUUCAUUUGAUUUGACAUCAUCUAUCUCCAAAUUAACCCAUAUAGUAUGGUAAUGCACAGGCUUGCAUGAAGACUGUGGUUAAUGCACAAGCAGAUAAUAAUAUUUUUCCAAAUAUUAAGAAAGGAAAAAAAGAAAAAUCAGAUGAAUAAUAUUAUCUUCUAAGGUAAAUAAAUAGUAUUUAAAAAACAAACACUUGUUGUAUUUCUCUAUUUCCAUAAAAAGAUUUCAUUUGUUUCCGUUCUUCACAUCAUUCUUUCUUCUCUCCUUGAUUCUUCUCUCCUUGAUUUAUACCUCAAGUUAAAUUAUUUCCUUUUAUCAUUUUUACAAAUUUAUAGUAAAAUUGAAAAGGUCAAAAUUGCACUAGAGAACAUGAAGUGCCAUGCUAGAUUUGAGCAAACUUUUUUAGAUCAUCUUGCCACGUUGAACAACGAAAUAGUGCACCUCAAGAAAUAACCUUUAAUUCAACAUGUACUGAAGUUAACUAACACCAUGAAAAAGCAAGAAAAACUAUGAUUCUCUUAUCAGUGGUGAGUUCAGCUGGAGCAAAAAUAAAACUAUGCGUGGUUAGAAAACUGGAUGACAAAAACCUGGAGUGAACACAAAAACAUGCACAAGAAUCAUUAAUCACUAAAUACAUGACUCCCACUUCAUAGGAAUAGAGCCAAUGAAAUGGUUUGUUAUGAAGGUCGUGGAGGAAUACCAGAAUUGUGGAGAAAAUGAAUGAAUAUAGGCAUGAAAUUUUGUUUGUUCCAGUGUUGUAAAAGUAUACUGAAGCAUACUUUUCUAAAAUAUUCUUAACCAAGUUAAGUGAGCAUUUUGCUUGUUGACUGAAGUGCUUCUAUUGCUAGUUAGUAUACGGCAAAAAAUAAAUUCUAGCGUUUGUGUCAAACUCUGAGCCAAUGACUGCUUCUGGCUACUAGAACAAGAAAGAAAAUAACCAAAGAAAAUAACCGAAUGAUGUUGGUUCAUAUUCCUUUCCUAGUCACAACAAGAACCUCUGUUGCGGACAAGAAAAAGUUAAUAAAAGUGGUGUCAUUAUCUCGUAUAAAACAAAUAUUGCUCAACAAAUUUGGAUGUUGUUUCAAAGUAAUGCAAGCUCCAAAUCAAGUUUAUUGUCAAGAUUCAUGAAGACUAGUCUGAAUGAAUUUGGAAAUCCUUAUUAUUGGAGUUGCCCAACAAAAUAAAUACCUCGGUUGAAUCAAUCAAGCUAAAUCCUUGAAACUAGAAAGUUCAGUGCUGACUAAUAGUAGAACUUUCAUGUUUAGUGAUUACCUGUUAUUUUUAGGAUGAAAUGAUUGAAUUUCAACAUAUAUUUUCACCUCCCCAGAAUAAAAGUAUUAAAUUCUCAUCCCCAGUGUGCAAUGCUGAAACUGGAGAGGACAUAAAUCAACCGUAACAUUUAAAGUAUAUAUAUAUUACAGAGCAAUGGUACAAUGCAAAAUCAUCAAUGAAGGCAGUACAAGAGAAAAAUCUUAAUUCCACAUAGAGAAAAUCCUUCCAAAGUAAGACUGGUUACAUAGUGAGUAGUAAAACGCGAAACUCCUAAAUGCAUUUCAUCAAAUCAAGAGCAGGUUUAUUUUAGACAUUGAUAUCUCAAAACUACUUUGGAUUUGACUAAUCUGAAAGCUAUUUUAAAUCAUUUGGAUUUGACAGUCAAAUCCUUACUUAUGGAAAACCAGGGCCUCCUUCAGGGAGGUUUAGGGUGUGUUCUUUUGUAGUAAUUUGGAGGAGGAGAUGAUUUGAGUGAAUUUGAAGGUAAUAUUUUUGUUGUCUUUUUGAAUAGAUUUGUGAGUAAUUGAGAGUGAAUUUGAAAGUAAAGUUUGUGAAAAUUAGUGUAAGAUUUGAUUGAUGUGAUAGGAAAAAAUUUGUUUAAUUGGUAGAAAUUGAAGAUUAUCAAAAUAUCCCUAAUUAUUAAUAUAAUAUAAAAUAAUAAUUGUUAAUGUUAUAUUUAAAGAGUAAAAAAUUAACAUUAACUAUUAAAAUUAAUUUCAUAAUUAUUAAAAUUAAUUUUAUAAUUAUAAAAAUUAAUUUUAAUAUUAUAUAAAAGAUAGUUAAUAAAUUAGAUGAGAUAAAAAAAAAAAAGUGUUAGCCUUUAUAUUAGAAGAUAUAUAUGUCAUUUUCUUAUAAAUCCUCACAAAUUUCAGCGUAUUAGCGAGUGAAUGAACAAUGACGUAAUUGUGCCUUUACCUUCAAAUCCGUCGUUUCUGCUCAUGCAAACACGACAUUCAACUUAAUUCCUCGCUUGCAAAUCAUCAUGAAUAGUCCAGUUCCUUAAAACGAAUACAGGCUCUGUUUCAGUUUUUAAAGACUGAUUGCAAAUUAAGAAUGGAUGAGUCAAUUUACUGAUAAGCCACCAAACUCUAAUACUUUGGAUUUGGAUCACAUUUUGGAUUACAUCGUAUAAUCAAAGGGAUGGAUAACAUCCUCUUUUAGUUUCAAAUCCAAUAGACCGUCUAAUUAACACUCAAUGGGUCAAAAUCAAUCUAAUUGGACACACAUAAGAUUCCAUAUCACCUCAAACAGAGAAGAAAUAACGAAUCCUUCAAUAUGCCACUAAUUUGAAACAAAACGGCAAGAAAAAAAGUUUCACAAUCAUAAAACCUAUCUCAACUCUUUCUUCAAACAGAUUCCGUGCUAUUUUCAGUCACCAUUCAGAGGUUCAGCAAAAUUAUUGAGCUUAAAACAAAGAACAUGCAUCUCGCACCAGCAAGUAAGUAGUAACAUACAUUCAACUACACUCACUUGCCACAAUCUCAAAGCAAAACCAACAUUGUUUCAUUCAAAAAACGAAGAUAAACACUUAUUUUCAAAGCAACACCGAAGCAUUCAUCAAUUCAGCACAGAACUAAAGUUUAUACACCGAUAUAUCUAUAUUGUGGAAUAGCAUUGGAGUGAAUUGAAAUGGCCUUCGAAUUUCAAACCUCUCACUUACAAUACGUCCCUCUAUUAAAAGUUGCUGAUCCGUUCAAGAUGGUGGGGCCAUGAUCUCACGGCAGCGACUGAGUACCGUGGAGUAAUCUGUGGAAGUGAGAGAGAAAUAAUAAUCUUGUCUAUUAAUUUAUAUUUUAAAAUAAUAAUUUACACAUAAAAGUUCGCAGAGAUAAUAUCUUAAUUCUAAAUUGUAAACUCUAAACUUAUAUUAUUGAUAUUUAAGGUUUUAAUCUUUUAUAUUAUAGCAAGAGUUUUGUCGCUGUGUUUAUUAAUUUUAAUAUUUUUUAUUAUAUCAAACUUCAUACGUAAAAUAUGAUUAUUAGUUUUAUCAAAUUAUAGAUAAUGAGUUUAAUUUUGAUAUAGUAUUAAUUAAGUUUUUUAAUAGUCAACUAUUAAUAAUACACUUUCUAGUAAUUCUUUUACACCAAUUUAUAUAAUAAGAUAAAAGUAAAUAAUAUUAUUAUAUUUAUACAAUUCUCAUAACUUAUGAAAAAUCUAAUUAAUAUAUAAUAAUAAUUUCUUGCAAUCUCAAAUAUAUUUAUACAUAAUAUGAUAGACACAUUGAUGGUAUGAGCAUCUUAUCCAUAAACAUAAGUUAUAAAAAAUGAAAAGAUUAAGAAAAUCACUUUGCUUCUCCACUCCACCAUCAAAAGUGUAUCUAAUAUAAUCAAAUACUAAUGCCAUGAUCAUAUUAGACCAUGGGAACCAUUAAAACCAUCAAAUUGCCAAUAAUGCUCAAAUGGACAUCAAUCACUAAUACCAUUAUGGUGAUCAACAUUAUCCCUUUGUCAUCAUCACCAUUGUCAUCCAUUAUAUUACACUUAGAGGACCACCACCACCACCCAUUGUCAUUUUAACCAUCCUAUUCUCAUCACAUUCACCAUUGUUCCCAAACAUAAUUAAUCCAAUAAUAUUAUCUUGUCUUGAGUUAAAUUUGACAAAAAUGACGUCUCCCAAUAGAAUUUUGGUGCUUAUGCAUGCAUUUGUGCAUCUUUUUUGGGAUACAUAUCUUAUCUUUACACUCACAUUAUACUAUCAUUUGGUUGUUAAUGUUUGGAGACAAUUGGCAUUGGACAUUGAUGUUAAGUUAAAAGACUUUAGAAAUUAUGUACAUAGUAAGGUUGAGUUUAGCCUUAAUCAAAUAAAAUGUAAUGUAGUUUUUCCUACACCUUUGUAUAAAAAAUUAAUUUUUUUUUUUCAAAAUCUAGAAGUUAAAAAUAAUUUCUAGACUGUACAAUCUAGAAAUUAUAAAAAUAACUUUAAAACUAUACCAUCUGAAAGUCAAAAGUUACUUUCAAAUUAUAAAAACUUCUAAAUGGUGUAAUAAAAGAACUAGUCAUUUUUAGCUUUUAUAGUACACACUCCAAAAGUAAUUUUAACUUUUUGAAUUAUAUAAUGUAACAUUUAUUUUUGACUACCAGAUUGAAUAAUCUAGAAAUUAACAUAAGUAAGUUCAGAAAAAAAAUUGUCAAAAUAUAGUAAGACUGACCCAAAUCAAGAAUUUGGAAAUUACUUCCUGCACCUCAUCAAAUUUCUACUCCCACCCAUCAAAAUGUCUUCUGUAAAAGGAGGGAUUGAUUGGGUUCAGGAAAAAAGUUUCCAGAAUUGGUUAUUGUGUUCUGAAACAUAAAUUUCAGAAGUGGUAGGAUGCAUGAAGAAAAUGUAAGGUUCAGGAAGAAGCUGCCCAACAACUUUCAUACAUGACCCUUAUCAAUGUCUAGCAAUGAGCUAGCACAAUAACCACAUUGAUAUUUACUUGACAUUGAACAAUCUACCUCAGCAUUUAAUGUGUCAUGUCAUUAUGCUUGUAAUACUCAGUGGACAAGCAAAUGAUGAAAAUGGUGACAUUUCAUGAUCUUUCACAAAUGUGGGGAAACCCUAAUCUUAUUUUGAACAUAAAAUGAAAACCCUAACCCAACAAACACUAAACCAAGCACAUCAACAAGUUCCUAUUUUACCAACUUAUAGAGAGUUCAAAUGAAUGGGAUAUGGCACAAAAACAUGAAGGCGACAUUGGAAAACAAGAUAAACCAAAAUGAAGAAAAAAUGAGAGAUCUAUAGAGUUAAGAGAAGAUGAGAACCACAAAAAGAAACUGAGUUUUUGGAAGAUCCAAACGAAGAGUCAAAGAUGUAGUAUCCCACUUCUUAGAGAAGAUAACAUAAUAAUACCUCAGCAUGUGAUUGUGCAUGUUAAUGGCAAGUGACUUUGGGAGACAUAUAUCAAACACCUUGUUUGCAUAAUGGGUCCCUUCAAUUUCAUUCAUCUUCACCAUUACUCAUUUUUCAUAUAUGACAUAAAGCAAAACCCCCUUUCAAAUCACCAAAUUAUCUCAUUUAGCUCCAUAUCAAAUUGCUUUCUUGCUAUUCUCAAAAUUCGUACUUUAUUUAAUUAGUUCAAUUAUAAAUACUCACAAUUUAACCAUUGAAAAGGAUAUUAUUAAAGUUGUUAAGAGAAUACAUAAAUUGAAUGUUGAUAAACUUUAAGGAUGUUAUAAAUAAAUGAAAAAAAAUAAAAAAACAUAAUUUUAUAGACAGAGUAUUUUGUAGUAUGUACCUUGUGGCACUUUCAUUUUGAUGAAGAGGAUCAUGGCCUCCUCACUACCACAUAAUGCUGUGCUGGUUGGCUAGGGUUCUAAUCACCCACCAUCCAUUUUUGUUGCUGUCUCUUCUUUUCCCCCAUUCACCUACCCUUAUGGACCUUUUCAUGGACUUUCUAGUGGGCCUGGCCCACCCUCCUUCAAAUGGGCCCACCCCUCCAUUUGUGUUUUCUUGGUAGUCCCACUUAUGUCUCAAUCUUUCUUUUCAUACUCCCCACACUGCUUUGUGCCAU
RNAcentral lists this long non-coding RNA (14414 nucleotides) under Vigna radiata. RNAcentral describes it as "long non-coding RNA (VRAD_LNC009543)". Lineage: Eukaryota; Viridiplantae; Streptophyta; Magnoliopsida; Fabales; Fabaceae. The record is from RNAcentral.